This 516-nucleotide long non-coding RNA is filed under the name Setaria viridis. Its description in RNAcentral is "long non-coding RNA (SVIR_LNC004980)". The record is from RNAcentral. Lineage: Eukaryota; Viridiplantae; Streptophyta; Magnoliopsida; Poales; Poaceae.
UUACAUUCCAGUAGAACACAUCUGUCAAGAACAUACAAGAAGCAUUUACAGCAUGGAGAAACACAGAAUGCACAAUGGUGCACUAGUGCUACUUUUGUUGAUGCUCCUCGGAUGCUUCUCUAUCCAUGCAGAAUGUAAGUGAAAUAAAUAAGAAACGUUGCUUCCAUUGUCUUCCAAAGUCAAUUACUACAAAAAUAGAUGGUAUUUUGCCCACAUCCUUAAAAAAGAUAUUGCUUAGAGCUCUUUCUUUCUUUUAAUAUGAACUAAGUGGUACACUAAUGAGUGUCUAGUUUCAUGACACUGAUUUGUUUUUUGUUAUUUAGGUCAUUUAUUUGCAUGUAUCAUGAACCUUAACAGAUUUGUUUUCGUACAUGAAAAAUAGGUCGAGCGGUCAUGGAUGAAAUGGGUAACCAGAAGCUGUGCAUCCAUUCUGAUUGCAGAGGACUAUAUAGUAAGCCUGACUGCUAUUGUUGUGCUAAGAAAAAAGAUGCUUGCUUUCCAGGAAUGGAUGAGUGU